UACAGAGGUCUCAAGCGUUGUUCGGAUUCAUUGGGCGUAAAGGGUGCGUAGGUGGCUCUGUAAGUCGGAGGUGAAAGCCCACGGCUCAACCGUGGAAACGCCUUCGAAACUGUGGAGCUUGAGGCUGGGAGAGGAAAUCGGAAUUCCUGGUGUAGCGGUGAAAUGCGUAGAUAUCAGGAGGAACACCGGUGGCGAAGGCGGAUUUCUGGACCAGUUCUGACACUGAGGAGCGAAAGCCAGGGGAGCAAACAGG
This 253-nucleotide ribosomal RNA is filed under the name uncultured bacterium. Its description in RNAcentral is "partial 16S ribosomal RNA". It matches the Rfam family "Bacterial small subunit ribosomal RNA", at positions 524 to 776 of the family's 1533-position model. The record is from RNAcentral.